UUCUCAGAAUUCCAGAUGUGU
This is a non-coding RNA of Caenorhabditis elegans, 21 nucleotides long. NCBI's taxonomy places the organism in Eukaryota, Metazoa, Nematoda, Chromadorea, Rhabditida, Rhabditidae. The record is from Ensembl.